Molecule: ribosomal RNA, 533 nt
Filed under: Bifidobacterium pseudocatenulatum
Lineage: Bacteria; Bacillati; Actinomycetota; Actinomycetes; Bifidobacteriales; Bifidobacteriaceae
Description: bacterial SSU rRNA
Rfam family: Bacterial small subunit ribosomal RNA
Source: RNAcentral
GAAAACGGGUGGUAAUGCCGGAUGCUCCGACUCCUCGCAUGGGGUGUCGGGAAAGAUUUCAUCGGUAUGGGAUGGGGUCGCGUCCUAUCAGGUAGUCGGCGGGGUAACGGCCCACCGAGCCUACGACGGGUAGCCGGCCUGAGAGGGCGACCGGCCACAUUGGGACUGAGAUACGGCCCAGACUCCUACGGGAGGCAGCAGUGGGGAAUAUUGCACAAUGGGCGCAAGCCUGAUGCAGCGACGCCGCGUGCGGGAUGACGGCCUUCGGGUUGUAAACCGCUUUUGAUCGGGAGCAAGCCUUCGGGUGAGUGUACCUUUCGAAUAAGCACCGGCUAACUACGUGCCAGCAGCCGCGGUAAUACGUAGGGUGCAAGCGUUAUCCGGAAUUAUUGGGCGUAAAGGGCUCGUAGGCGGUUCGUCGCGUCCGGUGUGAAAGUCCAUCGCUUAACGGUGGAUCUGCGCCGGGUACGGGCGGGCUGGAGUGCGGUAGGGGAGACUGGAAUUCCCGGUGUAACGGUGGAAUGUGUAGAUAU